GCAGGUAUAAUAUCGGGCUACGAGAUCGAUGUAGUCAAGUGGAUAGCCCGAGAGAUUAUGGAUAGGGCAACUAGCACAGACACUGUGUUGACCUUCCCUUGCAUGGUGACUUAGAUUUGUUUGGAGGUGGGAGUGCCAGAGCUCCCAGAUAUUAAUCGAUUCUUAAGGCCGAGGACCACGAUAGAUUUGGGGUUAAUCAGAGAUGUAACUAAUCCUAUCUCAAAGAUGGCAAAGUUGGGCACGUCCAUAAUUAGUGAUGCAUAUGAGGCUGGAGAAGAUGACAGUACGAGGUUUACUGAUAUAGGUGAUAUCCCUAUUAAGACUGUCCAGUCCAUGUCCCAGGCCUCUGAUGCAGCGGUAACCUCUCGUACUCCCACUCCACCACUUACUAUGGAACCACGACCAUCCUCAUCCAAGUUGGUUCCAGCCGACUAUGUAUUAGUGUCGCAAUAAUUUCUUUUCAAAGUUAUAAAGAGGUUGAGUACGGUGGAAAUAAAGGUGCGAUUGAUGAAGAAAGGAGUGAAAUCAUGGGUUUAGAAGAGGCUUAAUGAAGAUAUGAGGACAAUGUAGGCAAGGUUUGAUGUGUUUGAGUGGAGGAUUAACCGUCAGCUUGAAGGUAUCCAGUCCCCAAACAUAGCAGGUGUACAGGCUGAUUUAGCCAAUCUGUGAAAAUUAGUAGAAGAGUUACAUGAUAGGACAAUCCUAUCAGUGCCUAUUAUUGAGGAGACCACAGAGAGGAUGUGGUCAAAAAUACUUUAUCUAUUGGUGAUGCAACUCCUGCAGCUGGCGAAAAGGUGAAAAAAGCAAAAAAAAAAAAAAAAGAGAUUUGAAG
Molecule: long non-coding RNA, 832 nt
Filed under: Capsicum annuum
Lineage: Eukaryota; Viridiplantae; Streptophyta; Magnoliopsida; Solanales; Solanaceae
Description: long non-coding RNA (CANN_LNC010191)
Source: RNAcentral